Molecule: ribosomal RNA, 253 nt
Filed under: uncultured bacterium
Lineage: Bacteria
Description: partial 16S ribosomal RNA
Rfam family: Bacterial small subunit ribosomal RNA
Source: RNAcentral
UACGUAGGGUGCAAGCGUUGUCCGGAAUUAUUGGGCGUAAAGAGCUCGUAGGCGGUCUGUCACGUCGGCUGUGAAAACCCGAGGCUCAACCUCGGGCCUGCAGUCGAUACGGGCAAACUAGAGUGUUGCAGGGGAGACUGGAAUUCCUGGUGUAGCGGUGAAAUGCGCAGAUAUCAGGAGGAACACCGGUGGCGAAGGCGGGUCUCUGGGCAACAACUGACGCUGAGGCGCGAAAGCUAGGGGAGCAAACGGG